UUCUCUACUCUCCUCCAUCUUUCUCUUCUCUUUUUAUUUAUUUUUUUAUUUGUCAAAUUAACAGUUUGUUUGCCUAAUUUCUAUGCCUAUAAAGAUUUUGAAUUUAAUGGCUGAAGACGAUACAAGCAUGGGAAGCAAGGCAUGAAGCUGGGCUGAUCGGUGGGUUUCAGGACGUUUUGAUGGAGAAGAUGAUGACAGACUCAUGGCAAAGAAAAGGGAUAGCAAUGGGAACACUCGGAAGAAGAUGGCGGAGGUCAAGGCAGCAGCUCAGAAGGCAAAGCGGUACUUUAGUGGGGGUAUCAAAUAGGUCAAGAACCAGUACCAGAGGAAGUGUUCAAAAUAAAUUGUAGAGCUCCGAGUGUGGCAUAGUAAAGUAGGCUAGAAUCUGGAUGGUAAUAAAAUGGUAUUCAAAAUAGCUUGUCAUUUCCAUGAUCCAGGAGUCAAUGGAGAUGCAUUUACUUACAGAAUUCUUUCCUUAUCUUUUUACAUUGAUGCAAAUUUCUCUUCUUUUUUUUUUUUUUUAUCUUUCUGAUCAAAUAAGCAAAAAUGCCCUUCGAACUCUUUAAAAUUCAAAUAAGCUUAUCUCAAGUUAUUCGGUCAAAUGUCAUACUUGAAACUUAAUUUCUGACAACUUCCAUAUAUUGAACCCAGCUGGCGUCUUAGUGACAGUUUUCAGUAGAAUCAGCUCAAAGCAGAGUCGUUUUGGGUUGAUUUGACAGAGCAAAGCAAGCAGAUGGAUAUCAUUCGAACCACAAUUCCCAGGGCAUCAUUUAUUUAUUCAUUCAUUCAUCUUCUAACGCCAUGCUUCGUGCAUCAUUGCAAAAUAACCAGUCAGGCACAUGCAUAACGAACUCAACCAGCCAUGAAUCACCCACAGCAUGGCAUCCACUCAGCACAGAUUGUAAUAAAGAGUAACGAACACAAAUUGGAGAAUAGUUCACUUAAUAUAGACAGCCAAUUAUCCGAA
This is a long non-coding RNA of Populus euphratica (Euphrates poplar), 967 nucleotides long. RefSeq lists it as uncharacterized. The record is from RefSeq and is a predicted model, not a curated record. The transcript has 2 exons. Lineage: Eukaryota; Viridiplantae; Streptophyta; Magnoliopsida; Malpighiales; Salicaceae.